UCUCUUCUAGCUUUACUUUUGUAGUUUUUUUUUCAGCACAUAAGGCAGUAGCUGAUGAUCAAAUAUUGAAAUAAAAACUACAAAAGUAAAGCUAGAAGAGACGAGUAGCAAUUCAUCUAGCAAAACAACCUAACUCUUAGUACCUCUGAAAUUUUGCUCAAGGCAGUUAGAAAAUAAAGAAGCUAGGUAUUGAUGUUACCAAAUUUGAGCCCAUAACAAGGAAACUCAAGU
This 231-nucleotide unclassified non-coding RNA is filed under the name Hevea brasiliensis (rubber tree). Lineage: Eukaryota; Viridiplantae; Streptophyta; Magnoliopsida; Malpighiales; Euphorbiaceae. The record is from RNAcentral.